AUGGCAAUUGUCCAUACCUACGGGAAGCCUGACAUCUUCUUGACCAUGACCUGCAACCCUAACUGGGAAGAGAUAACAAAUGAGUUGUUUCCUGGUCAGACAGCGCAAGACCGACCUGAUCUUGUGGCUCGUGUGUUCCAUGGGAAGCUAGAGGCUAUGAAAGAGAUGUUGUUCAAGCAGCAUAUCCUGGGUGUUGUUGUUUGUAGUCGAGUUCCAAAAGAGGGGCCUCCCCCACGCACACUUUUUGUUGAUCAUGGAUUCUGCCUAUAA
This 270-nucleotide ribosomal RNA is filed under the name Triticum aestivum (bread wheat). RNAcentral describes it as "partial small subunit ribosomal RNA". The record is from RNAcentral. Lineage: Eukaryota; Viridiplantae; Streptophyta; Magnoliopsida; Poales; Poaceae.